AUAAUAAACAAGAUAAGUUGAUAAAAGAUGUAAAAUCAAACUUAAGAUUUUUUAUUUCACGUAAUUUUAAUGUUAAACUAAAAGACUUCUACGGUUUUGCUUGAAUUUACGGAAAAAAUGUUGUCGUAUGCUUAUCGCUCCGAAUCACACCGACGCUUGAUCAGCCAUGGCGAAGGAGAUGUCAACAGCUGACGACGGAGAAACGUAUUUUUGUUUAAAAUACAAAUGGUAUCGGGACAAAGACAAAACGAGCAAAAAGAUAAUGGUUUCUAACGGAGACUCAGAGCAUAGAAUCUGUUUCAAUCAAAAUUUUUAAGAGAGAUAAAAAAGAUAGCCUCAGGAUGAUUUGCUGUAGUGAGCACAUUAGUCUUGGUUCAUGGGGGAAUGUUUAUUUGAGGCUGACCUGUCUUCUGCAAAAUUAAUGUACUUGUAUUGAUAUACCAGCUGCUUGUGUGGUUUGAAGAUUAAUGGAAGAUGCACCAGCAGACUCAUUCCAACUCGUGUCAUUACUGUCCACAAUGUGGCUUACUUUGUCCUUACACAAAGUGACACCUACCAAAGAAAAUGAAGGCAUGUACUCAU
Long non-coding RNA from Magallana angulata, 582 nucleotides. RefSeq lists it as uncharacterized. The record is from RefSeq and is a predicted model, not a curated record. The transcript is spliced from 4 exons. Lineage: Eukaryota; Metazoa; Mollusca; Bivalvia; Ostreida; Ostreidae.